GUGACAUAAGCACCUGCUGGUGCCUGUUAUGUAGGACAGGUGAAAAGGGAAUGCGAGAGCACAAACGACUUUGUGUGAGCCGCAGCCGCCCUCGCGACCGUAAACCAAGCGCGUGUCCGCCACUGAUCAUGGAUUGGGAAGGCCUCACGCAGGGGAAAACCCACUUGGCCAGCCGGGAGACCUGCCAGCCGACUAACCAUCCG
Regulatory RNA element from Rhodobacteraceae bacterium HIMB11, 203 nucleotides. Lineage: Bacteria; Pseudomonadati; Pseudomonadota; Alphaproteobacteria; Rhodobacterales; Paracoccaceae. The record is from Rfam.